Molecule: long non-coding RNA, 36716 nt
Filed under: Citrus maxima (pomelo)
Lineage: Eukaryota; Viridiplantae; Streptophyta; Magnoliopsida; Sapindales; Rutaceae
Description: long non-coding RNA (CMAX_LNC003752)
Source: RNAcentral
AAUACUCCCUAUUAUCUCACUCAAGUUCGAGCUCCCAGAAUUCACUACUGUGAAGCUCUCACAACAAAAUUCCCUUCAAAGAUUCUCUACUCAAAUUUGAUGAUGAUGUCCCUCCAAAGGAGGCAAAAAAUCUAACACUGAUCAAAUUGGUUUGUGAACAAUUAAUCUUCCUGGCCAUCAUGCAUACCAGGUGUGGUGAGCAAUCUUCAUUAUGACAUUUGCCUUAAUAAGCAGCUUAGUUUCCUUAACCUGAUAACUUACACAAACAAAAACAACUUGAUUAAAGUUUAAUAUUUAGAGGCAGAACAGUAAAGAAGAUGAUAUAUAUUGAUACUAAAAUUUGACCUGUGUUAUCCUGACGUCAAGAAUCACAGCAUCUCAUGUGGGCAGAAUCUUCGCAGUACAAUAUGCUUGCAAAAUUGAAGCAGCAUCUUAUCACCUGUAAUUUAAUUAAGACAAUAACUUUCCCCAACCAUUUCAAUGCAUUAUUGCCAACUAAAUUCAGAGGGUGCUAAUUAAAUAGCCUUUGAACAAUAUAUUCUUAUUCUUCUCCAAUCUAACAAUUAUUUCGAAAAUCUAAAUGACAAUCACGCAUCGAUGGCAUCAAAAUUUGGCUACAAAGCAGCCUGGAAAAGGCUUUACUCUCUGAAUGAGAGCAUGAAUUCGAAACAAAUAUGAUGAAUGAAGAAAAUAAGGCAUAAUACCACCAAAAGUAAAACUUUCUCCCAGGGCUCUAUGUUUCUGUUUGUGCUAAAACCAAUAGAAACCGAUGGAAAUGAAUUUCUAGGAAUUAGACAUAUCAGCGAAAACAGGUAUUCUGUACAAGCAAAGUAAAAUAGGGUUACCAAAAUUUUUAAGAUUGAUAUGAUACUUGAAAAAUAGGUUUGCACAGAAUUAAUUAUUCUGUCAUUGAGAUUGUUCUUUUAUAGAGAUUUACAGCACACAUAAAACUAUUAAAUCAGUAAACUAAAUCACUGAUUUAAGGAAAGAAUAAUUUCUAGGUAGAUUUUCCUAAAAUACAUAGAUUUGCACCUAAAUAGCUAUGUUACAGCUAAUGACUAAUUUACAGCACAUAUUUUUUCUAAUUUUCUAACACUCCCCCUCGAGCUGGUUUGAAGAUAUCCUCCAUAGCCAGCUUGCCAACUAGAAAAUUGAACUGUUUUGUGUGUAGUCCUUUGGUAAAGACAUCAGCCACUUGUUCUCCAGUAGGAAUGUGCUCCAUAUGAACCAAUCCAUUAUCUAUCUUCUCCUUGAUGAAAUGCUUGUCAAUCUCCACAUGUUUUGUGCGGUCAUGAAGGACUGGAUUGUGUGCUAUUGAGAUUGCUGCCUUGUUGUCACAGUACAACUACAUAGGAGAUGAUUUUGUCGCUUUUAACUCUUCCAACAGCCUCCUAAUCCACAUGAUCUCACAAAUGCCAUGGGUUACAGCUCUAAAUUCAGCCUCAGCACUGCUCCUAGCUACCACAUUCUGUUUCUUGCUUCUCCAAGUAACCAAAUUACCACCUACAAAUGAACAGUAUCCAGAAGUGGAUCUUCGGUCUACUUUGCAGGUAAAUUUACUGCAAAGGCUCUUACAAGCCCUCAAAGAUGAUAUUCUACAUACCAUGGUAACCUGACUAACAAAAAGAAACACAGUGAAUAUUAAAGGGCAUUCUGACAAUGCAAAUUUGUGCAAAUUAACAACUGCGGUUACCUGCAUAAUAGUGUCAAUACCGAGUUCCUUCCUCCAUGGAAGCAUAUGAUCAGCCCACAUGUGCUUUGCUCUGUAGCUUUUGAGUACCUGAAAUUGUUAUUACAACCAGCGGUGAAAAUUGGGUGAAAAAAUGGUAAUAUUAGCAUAAUUGAAUUUGCUUAUAGAGGAUAAACCGAUCAAAGAAAACGACAAGAUAGAAAUGAUUAUCUUAGUACCUUAAUAUCAUGCAAUAAAAAUCAUCAUGCCUUCCAGGCAGCUAUCCAUCCUCAAUUGAAACAGAGCAGACCUGGCCAUCACUUUCUUCUUCAAAGUCCAGCAACUGAACGUUGCACACAACACCACAGUGGAAGUAGUUCCAUCACCAGCCUAAUCCUUGAUUACCCCAAUGUUCUCCAUAGGGUCUUCAAAGUCAACCUAAAAAUAAAAUGAAAAUGCAAUGCAUUAUUAUUAGGGAUCUAGUGCUUGAGCUUGCUUUGACAUCAUGGUAUUAGCAAAUUCUGAUAUAGCCAAAAUGGUGAAUAAGAUGAUGUACUUGAUAAGAAAAACCUGAUUUAACAAAUAAUUAAGAAGCCGGUAACAAUCACAUAAUCUCAUCAUGUGGGGAAUGCCUUGGCAACAGAAGAUGGUGCUUUCAUUCAAGCAAUAGCAACUUUCCAAUUUCAUAAGGUAGUUUAAUGGCCCUUUUAAGAACAUCUGUACCAGCCUAACAAUUAUUCAUGGAAAUUAAAAUUCAGAAUCAUAUUAGAUUGAGAGAUGAAAUAUAAUAAGCGAUUUGGCCACCAUAUAUGCAUUUAUCACCUUCAAUUUGCUCAUCUUUGUCUGGAGUAUUGCUUCUGCAUUAACUUAAUUAGCUUGCAAGCCACCUACAAAUGGUUUUAAAUAAUGUGUGAGAGUGUGAAUUCGAACGAAUUAAUCAAAUAUGCUGACAGGAGAAACAAAAGUAAAUAACCACAAGAAGUAGAAAUAUACUUUUGUUAUAUUCAGAGCAUCUUCUUGCGUCAAGUUCUUUUCCUUUAGCUCUGUUUCUGUUUGUGCUCAAACAGAAUGGCUCAAGGGUCAAGAUAAUUUUAUGACCAUCAAUCUUUUUGCAGCCACAUGCAGACUUGAAAAACUGGUCGUGGCACUAAGGAACUUGAAAAUUAGAAAAGAUUCAGAAUGAGUGACUAAAUAUUAUAAUCGAAACUAAUUAAACAUACACGCCUAGAAAAUCUGAAACUGAACUUCUCAAAUGUAUAUGCCUCUUCGCAGCAAUUGCUUGUGGUGGAAACUUUACCGCAAGGACUUUCUCAAACCCUUGAAGAUCACACUCUACCUGAUAACAAAGAAACAUAGUCAAUAUACGAAGAUGAUUUUACUAACAAGUGAGUGCUUACACAUAUUGGAAGGAUAAUGAUUACUCAUAACCCAAAUCCCCAACACUCCCUAAUAUCUCACUCAAGUGAGUACGAGCUCCCAGAAUUCACUACUGUGAAACUCUUACAACAAAAUUCCCUUUAAAGAUUCUCUACUCAAAUUUGAUGAUGAUGUCCCUCGAAAGGAGGCAAAAAAUCUAACACUGAUCAAAUUGGCUUGUGAACAAUUAAUCUUCCUGGCGAUCAUGCAUACCAGGUGUGGUGAGCAAUCUUCAUUCUGACAUUUGCCUUAAUAAGCGGCUUAGUAUCCUUAACCUGAUAACUUACACAAACAAAAACAACUUGAUUAAAGUAUAAUAUUUAGAGGCAGAACAGUAAAGAAGAUGAUAUAUAUUGGUACUAAAAUUUGACCUGUGUUAUCCUGACGUCAAGAAUCACAGCAUCUCAUGUGGGCAGAAUAUUCGCAGUACAAGAUGCUUGCAAAAUUGAAGCAGCAUCUUAUCACCUGUAAUUUAAUUAAGACAAUAACUUUCCCCAACCAUUUCAAUGCAUUAUUGGCAACUAAAUUCAGAGGGUGCUAAUUAAAUAGCCUUUGAACAAUAUAUUCUAAUUCUUCUCCAAUCUAACAAUUAUUUGGAAAAUCUGAAUGACAAUCAUGCAUCGACGACAUCAAAAUUUGGCUACAAAGCAGCCUGGAAAAGGCUUUACUCUCUGAAUGAGAGCAUGAAUUCGAAACAAAUAUCAUGAAUGAAGAAACAAAGGCAUAAUACCACAAAAAGUAAAACUUUUCCCAGGGCUAUCUGUUUCUGUUUGAACUAAAACCAAUGGAAACCGAUGGAAAUGAAUUUCUAGGAAUUAGACAUAUCAGCCAAAACAGGUACUCUGUACAAGCAAAGUAAAAUAGGGUUACAAAAAAUUUUAAGAUUGAUAUGAUAAUUAAAAUUUCAGUCACCAUAUAAUUAAUAGAAAACUUUGGACACAAUGAUUUAUUGCAUAUUAAGAUUGCUAUAUAAAAUAUAAUAUUAGCAUUAGGAGACCGCACCGAAGCAUACCGAAUUGAAUGUGCCUUUUCACAGCCAUUUUACAAGCUUUGAAGCUUCACCACAAAUGCUUUUUCCAACCCGUGAACAUGGUGCACCCGAGAGAUGCAAGCUAUGAAAUUGUUACUACAGCAAGCGUUGGAACAUUUGUUAAAAAAGGAAGUUUAUGAAAAUACGCCUUUGGAUACCAGUCUUCAGGAAUCAAUUCAUCCGUAAUAACAAUUUUCAAGAAUUAUCAACUGCUUUAAGCUCAUCGACAUCACAAAGAUCUCAACUAAAAUAGAGCAGAUCCGGCCAUCACUAUCCCUUCUACUGCUCUUUUCCUUUAGAGAAUGAUUGAAUUACAGAAUGCGUGUAAGGCAUUCUUAUUCAAGGUCCAAUGAUCAAACCUUGCACUAUAACAACAGAGGUAGUAGUUUCUUCGCCAGCCUAAUCCUUGGUCUCAGGAAUGUCCUCAACAGAGUACUCGAAAUCAACCUAAAAAUUAAGAAUGAGUUGGAAAACUGUUUAUGGCCCUAAAGAACUUGAAAAUAAGAAAAGAUUAAGAAUGAGUGACUAAACAUUUAAUCGCAACUAAACAUACAAACCUUGAAAAUCUAACUUUGAAGUACUCUUGAAUGAAUGAGCAGUUGCACGAGCUGGUGACAACUAAGGUUACUGUGAAGUCUCUUACAAAUCCUUAAAGAUGAUACUUUACAUACCACGAUAACCUGAUAACACAUAGGAACACAAUAAACAUUAAAGUGUAUUCUGACAAUGCAAAUUUGUGGAAAUCAUCAGCUGUGGUUACCUGGACAAUAUUGCCAACACCAAACUCCUUCCUCAAUUGAAACAUAUGAUCAGCCCACAAAUGCUUUGCUUUGUAGCUUUUGAGAGCCUGAAAUUGUUAUCACAACCAACAAUGAAAAUUGGGUGAAAAAAUUGAUAAUAUUAGCUUAAUUCCAUAUGUUUAUAUAGGAUAAACCGAUCAAAGAAUGAAAAAAGAUAGAAACAGAGCAGACCCAGCCAUCACUUUCUUCUUCAAAGUCGCACCAUAACCACAGUGGUAGUCGUUCCACUGCCAGCCUAAUCCUUGGUCACCCCAAUGUUCUCCAUGAAGUAUUCAAAGUCAACCUAAAAAUAAAUAAAAAUGCAAUGCAGGUGGAAAUGAAAAUUCUAUAAAUUAAAUAAAAUAAAAAUGCAAUGCUUGAGCUUGAGCUUGCUUUAGCAUCAUCGUAAUAGUAAAUUUUGAUAUAUCUUUACUUCUCUGUUCUUGUUUAUUCACAACAAGAUAUCAAUAGAAGAAGAUGGAAAUGAAAUUCUAUAAAAUAAAGCAAGUGAAUUACCAACAGAACAUUUUAGCAAUCCUUUGGCUAAACUUUUCAUUUUCUUAGCAUACUCUCCUGCCUGGUGAACAUAAUUAAACAAGUAUGAAAUAAAACAAAGUGGGCUAAUGUAGUAAAAACAAUAACACAAUUACUUUAAAGAAUUAAUGUCACGUAUAUUAUAUAUAAAAAAAUACGAUUAUCAUUAUAUAAGAUAAAAUUGAUAAUUUAGUUUUCAACAUUACUGCAAACGUAUCACAGAGAUUUUGUUACACAUAACAAAUUUUCGUACAUAUGAAAAUAAAUUACAUUGCAUGAAAUUUUACAAAAGAGCACAUAUUUUUUAAAAGUAAAUAAAUAUAGAAAUUUCAACAGACUACACUUGUAUUUUUUUUUAAUUAUUUAAUCUUUAGAAAACAAGUUUAACAGAUUUGAUAACUAGGAAGUUUUACGUAUUUAUACCAUGAUUGAUUCUAUAUAGAAUUUUAAUUCAAAAUAUAAUUAUUUUUAUUAAUUUCAUUGCAAGCAACAACGAAGUAAAUUAGAGGAGGAGGAGAAAUUACCGGCGAGUGAUAAAUUACCGCGACCACUUGAUGUGGGGAAUGCGAGAUAUCUUAUGCCAGUCUUCUCCUUUCCCCUCUCUAUAACGGUUUUCCAGAAGAGGACAUCUGUCAAUAGUCAAUUCCUGCAGCGUCGUCGUCCGAAGAAGGUAAUCCGGCAGCACCUUUAAUUUGGGGCAAUACUCAAUUACCAAGGAAGAAAGACGUGGUAUGUCUGUUGUCCUGUGAUCUUCUAGAAUGGGCAGUUCUUCCAUAUUUGCACAAAAAGAAAUCCUCAGUUUCUGCAGUGCCGUCGUUCGAAGAAGGUAAUCCGGCAGCGCCUUCAAUUUGUUGCAAGAACGAACUUCCAAGGAAGAAAGACGGGGCAUGAUAGAGAUGUUUUCCUUCCUCGUAAUCCUGUAAUUCCACUCUUCCAAUUCUUCCAUGUCCCAAAUUAUGAGUGAUUUCAAUUUGGGGAAGGCAGUAACUGAUGAUGAUGAUGAAGAUGAAGACGGGCCAUCCUCACUGCUUUCUUCUAUUCCCAAAAACUCAUUACCCACUCUUUUUACACUUUUCAAGUACCAUAGUUCGAGUUUUUCCAGAGGCAAUUUUCCCAAAGGAGGCAAAUGCUCACACUUAAGGCACGAGCGAAGAUAUAAAUUCCUUAGAUUGGUCAGUGAAGUCAACCAUUUGGGAAAAAUGUUGCGUCCAUAUAAUAUAAUCCCUAAUUUCUCUACACUCAAAGGCGGUUGUAAGGCUUUAAGAAGUUGUUCAUCUUUCUCUUUCUUCCUCCUCCUUUCUUCAUCUUCCCCAUCUACGACUCUACCAAACUCAAGACGCAAACGAAGGAGGUUUUGCUGAUUGUAAAGUUGUAAUCUCUCGACCUCAUCUAAACGGGACACAUUACCCAGCCCUUCAAUUCCACAUUCUCGAAGGAGUUGAAGAUUUUUCAGAGAUUCAAGCCUACAAGUAUUGCUACCAUCAACACCUCCACCCACCACAAACUUGUCUAAUGUUCGAAGACUGGUUAAUUUGGAAAUCCCUACUGGCAUGUAUUUCAACGAAUAAGUUUCAGCAUUCAGUAAACUCCUCAUGUUCUUUAACUUCCCAAUCCCCGCUGGCAAUUCUUUAAGAUUUCGGCACCGCCUAAUAUCUAGCUUUUGUAAAUUAUAUAAUUCACACAAAGUCUUAGGUAGUCUCUCUAUGCCUAAUUCAGACAAAUUAAGAUAUCUUAAAUGUAUCAAUUUUCCGACAUUUUUUGGAAUUUCUCUAAUCAAACUUGAGUGAAGACGAACAGGCGAGGAUGAUAGCCUUAUAACUAAUGAUUCCCUUAUAACUAAUGCCCUCAAACAUGCCAAUUUACUAAAUAACUUUCGAGUUUCUCUAAUCUUAUAUGUGUUUGGACAAAAACAUAGGCGCAACAGCCUUAUAACUAAUGCCCUUAAACAUUCUUUGCUACUACUAAAAGACGAAAGGAUGCUACUAAGAGACAGAUUGAAAUCACUUCUAUCAUAAAUUAAAAGGGUACGCAAUCUAUCAAGUCCACGAAUGGAUAUAGGAAAUGAAGUGCCUCUUUGAAAAUUUAACCCUAAGUGACGGACUUUGUCACCAAAAGAGUUUAUGACUGAGUCUUUGGUACCAUUAAUUUCUACCCACAAACAUUCUUUUCUACUUACAAAUUGGGCAAAAUCAUGUAUUAUGUCAUGCAUCUUGCAGCUCAUAAUAUCAUCAUCAUCAUCUUUUUUAAACUCUUGAAAGAAAGAGCGUGCUGCUAAAAUGUUGAAAUACUCUUCCCCAAUCAUCUCCAUCUCUUCGUCUUCUUCUGUAUUAAGAUAACCUUGAGCCAUCCAUAGUGAAAUUAGUUCCUCUUUAUUCAUAUUGUAGUUUUUUGGAAAGACAGCACAAUAUGAGAAACAUUGUUUUACCAUAGAAUUGGAGGGCAAAUCGUUAUAACUCAACAACAAAGGAGCUAAAAGACCUUGCCCAAUUGCUUCUACUUUCCACAUUUCACUCUCUAAAAUUCUUUGCCACUCUUUUACUGUACUUUUAGAGCGCAAGAGAUUCCCUAUUACCUUUGCAGCAAGAGGCAGGCCUUUGCACUUAUGUGCAAUUUUGCGCCCGAUUGGUUCUAAUUUUUCACGAUCCUCAAAGGACCUACGUAGAAAUGCCAUCUGCUUAAACAGUAACCAACAUUCCCCUUCUCCCAACUCCUUGACAGGGAUAAUAUCUAUUGAUCCCAACUGUAGUGCAACUGACCUAUCACGUGUGGUAAUUAGAAUUUUACUUUCAUGGUGGCCAUUCUUUAGACAAGAAAAGAAUGGGUCCCAUUUUUUGUAAUCUACAUCCCACACAUCAUCUAAAACAAGAAAAAACUUUUUUCCUUCAAUUGAUGUAUGGAUAUGGCUCAUAAGAGAUUGGAAUUCGCUUAAAUCAUAAGCUUCUUUUGACUUGCCUAGACCUUCAAUGAUUGCUUUGGCAACCCUAAUCCUCUCAAAAGUGUCUGAUACACACACCCAUAUAACUUUUUCAAAAUUUCUUUUCACCUCAUCAUUAUUAUAGGCCAGUUGUGCAAGAGUGGUUUUACCUAUACCCCCUAACCCAACUAGUGAGAUGAUAUGAAGGCCUUCUUGUUGUUCACUACUUUGACACAACAACUUGCUUAAGAGCUCAUCUUUCUCAUUAACUCUACCGCAAACCUCUCCCUCAUCAAUCAAGGAGGUGGUUCGCACUCGCUCUGGUUUCUUGACAUUGUUACUCACAUUCUCAACAAAUUUAAACAUAUCUUUUCGAGUGGCAAUACCAUCUAGCUUUUCAUUGAUUUCCCUAAUCUUGACAGCAAUGUCAUGACGAAGACUGAGUUGUUUGAAACUGCCACAGCAGUUUGAUACAGCACAAAAGAAGGAACGUACCUUCUUCUUAUGAACGCCCUCAAUCUGCAAUUUGAGCCUUGCAGUGGUCCACUCCUCCAACACAUCUUCCAUGUCGUAAGAUGCGUCUUUGAGCUGAUCCAGCCAAAAAGUAACAUCUUUCUCGUGCUGCAUUUGCCUUUUCUCUGCAUCUUCCAGCACAAGUUGAAUGGCUUGUAGAUUGCUGGUGAGCUUUUUCACUUCUUCGUCGACACCAGUAACAAGCCUCACCUGUUGUUUCAGUUCAUCAGUUGCAACUGAGCUCAGCUGCUCCAGGAGAGAGGAAACGAUCGCAUCAACCAUUCUGACAAAGAAGAUGAGAAUUCUGAAGAGUUAUUAGAUGUGCUUUUGUUGCGAAGAUAUGAAAGAAAGGAGUUAUUGCAUUCUUUUAUACUGCAUAGAAAAGGUUUAUGCUUAUCCCCACCCCACACGUCAAUGAUUGUAGAAUGUUUAAUUUCCCUGAUUCUACUCCACUAGUUGUGAUGCGUAAUUAUAAAUAUUCUCAAGUUAUGUAUGAAAAUCCCACAAAUUUGGAUCUAGUAAUGAUUUUUAUGUAUUUUUUCAUAAUCUUCUAAAAUACUAUAUCUGCAUGUUAUUUCGUGCAGAAAUAUGGCAUUGGGUGAAAAAAGUUAUGCUUAUCCCCACCCACACGUUAGUAAUUGUAGUAGCAUCUGUAAUUUCCAUGAUUCUACUCCACGGACGAACACAUUUUUUGUACUAACAUCUUUAAAUUCCCACACGUUAGGAAUUUGGCACAUAAUCUCAAACUCGUCGCAUCUUUAACGUAUGAGGUUGAUGAAUAAAUUCUUUUCUCAUAUCAAUUUAAAACUCCGAGAUUAUGUGCCAAAUUCCUAACGUGUGGGAAUUUUACCUCCUAAGUAAUCCGGCCCACUGCCAAGUGCCAACUUUUUCUCUGUCGAGUUAAUGAUGUUGUUUUGUUUUCCUUGUUUUAAUUAAUGUUGCGGAGAGAAACAGAUCGAUGCAAAUGGCUAGCCAGGUUUUGCAGAAACCGUGAAUGGUCUUGCAUGCAUGUGACAUAAAGCUUUAUAUAUAGCUUAUUCCUCCAUCAACAUUUCAAUGGUUCCAUCUCACGUGCACUUGGCUAUGAAUAAGGUCCAUGCAUGGAUCGAUCGAUUUAGGAGUUUGGACCAUCUCAUGCUGCAGAGUUAUGUGUCAUGUAUGUGUGUUGACACUUGCCAGUUCAUUUUUGUUAUAAAGAUUAUUGAUACUCGUAAAUGUACUACUUACAAAUCAUAAAUUUUGAGUUUGACACUUUAGUUUCAUUUUGUAAUCCCUACGCUCUUUAAAUAUUUGUAAUAAUAUAUUUCAAACUUUAACUCAGACGUAAUGAAUGAAGGGGGAUCCUCUUCUUAUAUAAAUUUUUAUUUUUUAACGUUCAAGUUACAUUUGAUUACGUGUACUUAUUAUCUAGUUUUGACUAUCUAAUGACAUUUGAUUACGUGUACUUAUUAUAUGAUUUUUUUUUAAAUGAUGGGUCUGGUGAGAUUUUUUACAUCUUGGAUUAGUAGGUCAAGAACGGGCAGGGCAGGGCCUUCUCUGAAGUCAAUCUUGUGAGCAACACCAGCUUUUUGGAUAAUUGGCAGCCCCAAUUCAUAAUUUUCUCAGUUGAUGUCCAUGGCCAAAAUCUGCAACCGAAGCUUAUUCUACUCUUAUUAAUCGAGAGAUAAUUUUAUCUCUAACUAAUUUAAUUGGGAGGAAAAUUGAGAGAGAUAUCCACUCUGUCCUUAUUAAUUGAGAGAUAAUUUUACCCUUACCCAAUUUAAUUGGAAAGGAAAUCGAAUUCCAACAAUAACUAGGACUUGAAUCCAUGCACUUAAGCUAACUUUAAGUUUUAGGAUGCAUGGUUAUAAUGUUCUUUAUUUAAAUCCUAACAAAUGGUGGGACUUGAACUUGUGCCUACAAACAUUGAGUGCUUAGGGGCUGCAAAAUUUCAUAACUUAAUUUUAGUUGAUGUGGUAUGUGCCCUAUCACAUAAAUAUGUAGAUAAUAAUAAUUAAUACAUUAACAAAAUGAAAAAUAUUAGUUUACAAAAUACAAAUCCAAAUUUUUUGUGUGACAAGGGACUUAAAAGGGAGAGACUAAACAAAUGUGGUGAAAACGACAUGUAUUACUAAAACUAAAAAUACGAAGUCUAGGCAAUUGAAAACAUCGGGUUUUUUAUUUAAAUAUCCCCAAUUUGUCCUUAAAUACCAAAUUUAUACCCUAUUAUAUACAUAUACCUCACGAAGAUAGGGAAAAUAAAAAAUAACCUUAAAAAAAUCAAGAAUCCACACAUUUCUUCCUCUCAGUGCAGGAAGAUGUCGAGUACGAAGUCGGGUAAGUCGAGAAUUUAGUCGAGCAAGAAUUGGAGAUAAGUAAGUUGAGUAUAUGGUCCAGUAGGAAGUUGAGUAAGCAUAUUAAAUGAGUCCAGUAUUAAGUGGUAGAGUAUUAAGUAAAAGUCAAGUAAAUUUUUUAAACAAGUCAAAUAAAAUUUAUGUAAUUUUUAAAGAGGUUGAGUAUUAAGUCGGGUUAGUACAUUGGGUCGAGUGUUAAUAUUUUUAAAGAAGUGAAGUCUGGUAAGUUGAGCAUUCAGUCGAGUAAGAAGUUAAGGCAAUUGAAUAAGUCGAGUCUCUAGUCGAGUACGAAGUCGGGUAUAAAGUCUGGUAAGUUGAGCAUUCAGUCGAGUAAGAAGUGAAGGCAAUUGAAUAAGUCGAGUGUCUAGUCGAGUACGAAGUUGGGUAUGAAAUCUGGUAAGUUGAGCAUUCAGUCGAGUGAGAAGUGAAGGCAAUUGAAUAAGUCAAGUAUCUAGUCGAGUACGAAGUCGGGUAUGAAGUAUGGUAAGUUGAGCAUUCAGUUGAGUAAGAAGUGAAGGCAAUUGAAUAAGUCGAGUACGAAGUCGGGUAUGAAAUAUGGUAAGUUGAGCAUUCAGUCGAGUGAGAAGUUAAGGCAAUUGAAUAAGUCGAGUAUCUAGUUGAGUACGAAGUCGGGUAUGAAGUUUGGUAAGUUAAGCAUUUAAUCGAGUAAGAAGUGAAGGUAAUUGAAUAAGUCGAGUAUCUAGUUGAUUACGAAGUCGGAUCUGAAGUCUAGUAAGUUGAACAUUCAGUUGAGUAAGAAGUGAAAACAAUUGAAUAAGUCGAAUAUCUAGUCGAGUAAAAAAGUCGAGUAAGUAGAUUGAAUGAGUAGGGUAUUAAUUUUUUGUUGGCAUUUUAUUGAGGCUAUUUUUGUACUUUCUUUGGUUUUUUAAGUAUGUAUAUGCAAAGUACAGAUUUUAAUAGAUGGAUGUAUAUUUUGGGUAUUACGAGAGAAACGGGGUAUAUCCCACGCAAUUCCUUCGAAAACAUCUCUGUCAAUUGCAAUGAACAGAUCACAACCCUUCAUAAUUAAACAAAAUCAAACUUGAAAAAAAAAAUCACACACACACACACAAAACAAUCACAAAAACUAUUUGUUCUGAUCAUCCCUGCUUUUUUUUAGCGUAGCUCUUGGAAUGAAAAUUAACAAAAAGUGUCAAAAGAGAAGCAUUAAACACAGCAUUGAAGCACCAGCCCAAAAUCCCAGAGCAACCAAAUCCCGUAAAAUGAUAAUACAGCAUCAAAACCGAAACAACAAAACUAAACACAAACUGAACAAUCUAACAAUCAGUGACCAAUCUCUUCCACUUUGGCCGCAACCCCAUCACACACAAUAGAUAGUACCCGUACAUGAUCACAUGCACACUUGCAUUAGUCACAAGUGCAAUAGGAAACAAAGACUGCUUCGUCUGUAACCAAAGGUAGCACAUUACGACGACGGUUGCAUGGUGGUAGACGUGGAGGAACGUGAGCCAUUGGAUGGAUUUUGACAAAAUGAUCAAAAGGGUGUCUAAGAAUUCGAGUAUUUUGGAGAGGUAGAAGAGGUAAGCGUAGAAGAAGAGGGGCCAGACGGAGAAAUGGUGGGGGGGAAACAGAGGGUGUAAUGGAGGUGGGGCAAAUGGACGAUGAUGGAGAGAGUGCAGCCAACGGCCAUGAUGAGGGAGAGGAGGAGGAGGGUGAGGUUAUGGACGGCUGUGAUGGGCUUGAGGAUGUGGGGUCCAAUGAGAGGUGAUGAUGAUGGUGAUGUUGAUGUUGAUAUGUGGUAGAGGAUGAAUGUGAGGGAGAGGUAAGUGAGGAUGGAGAGAAUGAGGAAGUGUGGGGAAGAAGCUAGUGUUUGGUUCUGAGUCCAUGUGAAGCUGAGGAUUUGGGGGUGGUUUACAAGACAAUAUUGGAGUGUUGAGGUGAUUGAAUUUGAAGCCAUGGCUAGUUUUGGGGGAAGAAAGAUUUUGGAAGAGAUGAUGUUGAGAUGAACGGGGAGUUUAUAAAGUUUUGGGAUAAUGUGGAGGGUAUUUUGGACAUAUUGUUGUCUCAGCUUAAAUUUUGGGAAAAAGAUGAUCAAUAAGAAGCUCUUUUUUUCAUAUCAAUUUAAAACUCCGACGGUGUUUCCAAAAAUUGUUUUUCUUUUUCCGUUUUUAAUUUUAAAUCAUAAAUUUAGUAAAAGAAGUUGAAUCAAGUGAUCACUUUUUUUUUAAUGUAAAACAAUUAAUUUCUUUGUGAUUUAAGCAAAUAUUGAGUUGCAUACUUUAAAUAUAUUAAUAUUUGAUUCGAAAUUUCAUCUACCGAAACUACAAAAAUUAAUAUUUUCUAUUAAAUCAAAACCAAAAUUAAAGAUGACUCCUUGUCUGCCAACUGUCAUUAAACAAAGCCAUCACUCACGUGAAAAAAAAAAGUGAUAUAUUCAUUUUAACGUAAUUUCAUACCAACAUAUCAUUCUUUUUUUUCCAAUAAUGACCUCUUUAAUUAUAAAUAUGGUAAAAGGGGAUGGGUUCGAGGUAUGGCGUCCGGGCCUUUGUGACAACGGUAUCUUUGGACGUGGGUGUCGUUAGAUUUUUGGCUAUUUUCUGGUCAAUCAAACUGGUGGAUCACAUGCAUUUUAAUGACCUCUUUAAUUAUAAAAAUAUGGUAAAAGGGGAUGGGUUUAAGGAAUGGCGUCCAGGCCUUUGUGACAAAGUUGGAUGUGGGUGUCAUUUAGACUUUUGGCUAUUCUGCUCAAUCAAACUCGUGGAUUACAUGCACUCAACGCGGACAUUAUGGAAAUGGGAGAAAAUUAUGUUAGUAAUAGCAUCUUCAAAAGUUUCUAUACAUUUUACUCUUUAAAUAUUUAUUUACUUAUUUAUAUGAUAAAUAGAAAGGUAAAAAAAUAUAUUAUUCUCCAAAAAAACUCUUUCAAAUAAAAAUUAAGUUAAUAUUAUUUUAAUCAAAUAAUUAUUUUUUAAAGGAAAAGUUAACAGCAAUUAAAGCACUUCUCUUUCUCUCUCUAAUAAAAAGUAAUAAAAUAUUAAUUGAAGUGUUUUUUAGAACCUUAAAUGUUGAUGUGACUCUUCAAAUAAGUAAUAAAAUCUUAAUUGAAGAGCCUUUUGGUGAUGGUUUAAAACCCACUGUUUUCGUUCUAAACUAAGUGAAUUUAUCUCGUGAGCUAAGUAGUUUAGGAGAUAACUCAAAUAAUUAACUUUUAUUAGUUUAAUAAUAAGAAUUUUCGAUUAUAUUUUAAAAGGUAUAAUUCAUUACAAAAAAUUACUUAAUAAAAAUAACUUUAUUUAACAUAUUACAUUUUUUCAAUAAUAAAAUAAUUCAAAUUUUUAAUUAUUAUAACAAAAAAAAUUUGUAAUAUAAUCCAUUCAUAUACCACAUCACGUAAAAUUAACCUAGUACUACAUGUAAUCUUGUUACUACUAUUCCUAUAAUAUUCUACACAUCAUAUACUAUCAAAUUCCAUCCGGCAUGCCAAAUGUGCAAAGUUUGAGUAAGACUUGUUAAAGUUGAGAGUAACAUCUUAUAUGGCCAAGCGCAUUGAGUAUGGAUUUGCAUGAUCGAGUGAGUACAACUAAAGUCGGGUAGAGUCUGGAAAAUCCCUAUAAUGUUGAGGUUGGAGAACUAUACUUUUUAAGGUACAUAAUUAAACAAUUUUGGUAAAUAUUUACUAUUAUAACUUAAAAUUAAUUUGAUUUGAUCUCAUAUAUUAUUAUAAUAAAAAAACUUAUAAUAUCUUUAUUAAUUUUAUUAAAAAUUAUUAUUUAGAAGUCAUAUAUUUAUUACACAUUGUCAAAUUUUCAGCUUUUUGUUUUUUAACAACAGCUAGUAAUAUCAACAAGACCUAAGUUGAGUAUGAUCAAUUAAUUAAAAUUAUGAUUUUUUUUUGUAUAAAAUAAUCAUUAGAUAAUUAGUCUGUAAAGAAUAUCGGCUACUUCAAAUGGAAACUUGCGAUAAAAAAUGCAUCACAAAAGUAACAAUGACACACUAUAUAAGAAAUCUGAAAUAGAAUUUGCAAAAUUGAACUGAGUUACGGAGAGUAAAUAAGACUCAAAGGAAACAUGGGCAAUUAUUAUUAUCUAGGAAACAAUUCAUAGCUAAAACAAAAUUAACUAUACUUGCCAGGAAAUAUGGCGAAUUCCACCACCUCCUACAAGUUCUUAGGUGUCUUAGAGUUUGAUGACGACUUCCAUGCUGUCUCUUCGACAGGCAGCAAAAUUGGGCAAUUGACUACAUUAACUCCAAGAAAUUUAUGCAGUCACCUUCCUCCGGACUAUCCUCUUUCUUUGAGCUUUGGUUGCCCCUAUUUCCCCUUCAAUAGAGUCAUCACUGUUUUGUUUGAAGCCAAGGAGCCCAAGAUCAGAAAAAUGGCAUUCUUUGGUAUCAAUCCCUCGAUCCCAAAGUCACGUCACUAACUUUCUGUUGAUCGCGUAGCUAGUUCAUGUAUGCCACAGCAGCGGAAGGUAGCCUGAAGAGAAAAAACCUCUCUCUCUUUCUUGCUCAGUAACCACCUGGGCACUUUUGUGCUGAGCCAUGACAUCCUGAGAUGGCCUGUUGUGUAAGCCUUCUUCAAAAGGUCAUCUGUCGAUCUUUCUCCUAAUUAGACAUCCAAAACCCAGCAUGGAAUCCAUUUGAGAAGGUGGACAAUAGACAAACUCCAACGCAUACAGACAGUAAAGAAGAAUUUAGACGCAAUCACUGUGGCUGAAUAAAUGGGCCUAUUAAGCCUAUUAAAAGUUGGAACCAUAUUCACCACUCGCAGUUCCUUAGAGAACUUUAUCAGAAUUCUGAAAAUUUAAAACUAUUCUUACAUAUUUAACUGUAAAACAAGAGAAAUUGUACUUCCGUAGCAAAGUCUCACUAUUGGUAAGUAUCUGGACUUGGAAAGGAUGCUAGUUGAUUAAGUAAAGGAAAAUUGAAAUCAGACUUUGAGGUGAUAGAUCUAUAUACACUUUAAUCGGAACCACAUUAACAUCAUAUGAGCCAAACAAACAAAUUCCCCAGUCAAAGUUCAACAAACAAAACAUUAAAACAAGAGUAAUUUGGUGUAUCAAUGUAUAUAUAGAGAUGUCGAUCAUUGACAAAUACGUAAAAGAGGGAGGGAGAGACCUCAAAGCCGUGCUUAACAACAUUGCUACUCCAAUAACUUCAAAAUGGUUGGCGACGUCUCUAUCAAAGCCACACAAUAGCUGAUAUCUCAUGUUUGCAUGUAGUCCAAUGAAAGCACCAUAACCAAGAACAUUAGUACUCACAGAUGGGUUUGUCACAGAUAACCUGUCAGGCAAUAAAAAUUGCCCAAAUUAAACAAAUGUUAGACCGGCUUAGACAGUAAACGGAACAAUUUCUAAUUUUACUUAUUUUAUAACGAAUAAGUGAACAAAGGAAUGAAAAGGAAGUUUGGCAACAGUCUUUUUACCAGCCAGAUAGUUUGACAAAGAAUCUUGCACUGCUCCUGCAGCUAAUCCACCAUACACAACUCUGCAGUCUUGUUUGGGAGUCAAAAUUCUCAAAAUGGGUAACUCUGUUCAAAUAUACUGUUUGGGAACUUUUGUAAUGUAUUUUGCAAGUCAAACAGGAAGGUAUUUCCAUAAGAAGGUUCACUUCACAUGCUCAACAAUUCAAAUUUGCGGAUGAUAUUUCUCAAAAUGGAGGGCUCUAUUUGGCUUGCCAACAAUCUUCCUCACCAUUAUCAUCCUUGCUAUACCGGUUAAACUGAACAGUCUUCAUUCUGACAUUUGCCCUAUUAACCUGAGUACACAAGAAUCCGAAACAACUGUUAGAAAUUAUAAUCUUUAUAUAUAGCCAAAAUGUUGAAUAAGAUGAUGUACUUGAUAAUAAAAUACCUGAGUUAAUAAAUAAUUAAGGGCCGGUAACAAUGUCAGCAUCUUAUCAAGUGGGAAAGCCUACGCAACGAAGAUGCUGCCUGCUUUCAAGAAAUAAUAACUUUCCAAUUCCAUAAGGUAGGUUAAUGCCCUUUUAAAAAUAUCUCCACCAGCCUAACAAUUAUUCAUUGAAAUGUGUGAGUGUGAAUUCGAACGAAUUAAUCAAAUAUGAUGACACGAGAAAGAAAAUUAAAAUAACCACAAGAAGUAGAAAUAUACUUUUGUUAUAUUUAGUGCAUCUUCUGUGUGUGCUCAAACGCAAUGCCUCAAGGCGCAAGAUAAUUUUAUGACCAUCAAUCUUUUGCAGCCAUAUGCAGACUUGAAACAUUGGCGGUGGUUCUAAGGAACUUGAAAAUUAGAAAAGUUUCAAAAUGAGUGACUAAAUAUGAUAAUCGAAAUUAAUUAAAUAUACACGCCUUGUAAAUAUGAAACUAAAUUACUCAAAUGUAUGUGCCUCUUCGCGCAGCAAUUGCUCGUGGUGGAAACUUUACUGCAAAGACUUCCUCAAACCCUUGAAGAUCACACUCUUCCUGGCAACAAAGAAACAGAGUCGAUAUACGAAGAUGAUUUUACUAACAAGUGAGAGCUUGCAAAUAUUGGAAGGAUAACGAUUGCUCAUAACCCAAAUCCCCAAUACCCUCUAAUAUCUCACUCGAGUGAGUUCAAGCCCCCAAAAUUCACUACAGUGAAACUCUCGAAACAAAAUUCUCUUCAAAUAUUCUCAACUCAAAUUUGAUAAUGAUAUCUCUUGAAGGAAGGCAAAAAAUCUAACACUGAUCAAAUUGGCUUGUGAACAAUUAAUGUUCCUGGCCAUCAUUCAUACUAGGUGUGGCGAACAAUUAAGCUGCUUAGUAUCCUGAACCUGAUAACUUACACAAACACAAAACAACUUGCCUAAAGUUUAAUAUUUAGAGGCAGAACGGUAAAGAAGAAGAUAUAUAUUGAUACUAAAAUUUGACUUGCGUUACCCUGAUGUCAAGAAUAGCGGGAUCUCAUGUGGGCAAAAUCUUCGCAAUACGAGAUGCUUGCAAAAUUGAAGCAGCAUCUUAUCACCUGUAAUUUAAUUAAGAUAAUAACUUUCCCCGACUAUUUCAAUGCAUUAUUGGCAACUAAAUUCAGAGGGCGCUAAUUAAAUACCCUUUUAACAAUAUCUUCUUAUCUUCUUAAUCUAGCAGUUAUUUGGAAAAUCUAAAUGACACUUUUAUGUAUUCUGUGAGAUGCUCAUUCAACCAUGUUUGCAUUCUUCUUAUACUAAUAGGAGAUUUAAUUUUUACCCUCAAGUCAAUGUCAAUGUGAACGUUCUUUUGUGCUGCAAAUUGAAGGAGUCCCCACAGGAGUCACCGUCGUGGUUACUUGCUGCUCUUAAGAUAAUUAGUAACAAAAUAUUUGUAAACUGCAACAAAAAGCUCAGUGCAAUCUAUCUAUGAAUCUUGUGAGUUCACAUAUAAUACAGUCGAUUUAGAAUAGUCAUAAAUUUUUUUAUUAUAAAUAUUAGUAUAUUUUUAAUGGUAUAAUAUAUAUCGAUGAAACUAUAUAGAGUAAUUUCGCCUAAUUGUAUAAAUUCAUUACGAAUAUCAUCACAAAUUUGUAUUUGGUCGGGACCGUGCGAGUGAAAUUUUUGAUAAAAUCGUCUCCUGACAAUUUAUUUAUUAUAUUCCAUUCCUUUUAUUAUCAGGUAGGCCAAAGCCAUUUGGACAUUUGAAAAAAGUAUGUGAUUCUGUUUUAGUCUAUUAUGUCACGACAAAAAGAGAAUUGGAAAAUGUAACAUUCUCAAAUUAAUUUGUAGUGGAAAAGAGAAAAAUAAGACAAAAGUUGGAAAAAUCAUGCAGCCGACCCUUUUUUUUUAUCUGAUUGCGCAAUAUUAGGUAGGCGAAUGCGACUUCAUCGAUAUCACACAGCAGUGGUUCUGUCAUUAAUUUUUUCUUUUAUUUAAUUAAGAAAAGGAAGAAAAGAUAGCACAUGUUAUGAUUAUUGUGAAUUUUCCAUCCCUUAUAUAAAUUCUCAAAUUUAUUUAAAUUGUGAGUCAUAGAAGUAUAUUACCUAAACUAUUUUAUCAGGCCAUGUUCGGAUACUAGGAUUAAGUAUGGAAUUGGACUAAUUUUGUGAUUAUAUUUUAUAUCAAAUUUGGUAAGCUUAAUUGAAUUGGACUAAGGGACUAAAUUUAAGUUUAAUCCUAAAAUUAUGGGAUUAAUAAUCCUAAUUUACACAUUCCUUUAGUUGGGACUUGGGAUAAGAUUAAAGAAAAAAGUUAUCCAUUUAUGAGACUUUAAUUUAUGUCAUUAUUUUUUUAUUUAUACUUUAAUAUUAAUUAAUUUAUUAAUUUAUUUUUAAUUUAUGAUUUUACUUAAAAUUUAUUUUUAUUUAUUAUCUAUUAUCUGGUUAAAUUAGAACUUUACUUCUACUAACUCUUGCGAUUAAUUUUUCAUUACUUGCGUAUUUGAUAAUUUGCCAAUAAAAUUAACCAUUUAAUAAUUUCUUGCAUUAUUUGAUUGUAUUAAAUUUAAUAAUCACUAAUAUAAUAUUAAAAAUAAUCAUGAAAAUUAAUAAUACCUUCAAUUAAUUGAUUUUUAUAUACUUUUUUAAAUAUUUGAUAAGAAGUUGAUAAAAAUUAAUUAAGGAUUUAAAAUUUUAUUCAUUUUUUAUUUAUUUAUUUUAUCAUGAAUACCCAGUAUCUUACAAUAUAAUUAAUUUUCUUAUUCAGACUACUCAGCAUCAGCUCCUGUAAAAUUUCUUACAUUAUAAGCAACAAAAUAUUUAUAAACUACAACAAAAGGCUUAGAUCAAUCCACCGAUGAACCUUUUGAAGUUAUAUAUAAUAUAUUAAUUGUUGAUCUAGAAUAGUCUUAGUGGAUAGAUUUUUUUUAAUUAUAAAUAUUAAUAAAUUUUUUAUCGUUUAAUAGAUAUUGAUGAAAUUAUAUGGAGUAAUUUCGCCUAAUCAUAUUAAUUCAUUAUGAAUUUCAGCACAAAUUUGUAUGUGAUCGAUCUGGACCGUGUAAGUGAAAUUUAUUUACUAUAUUUUUCAACUUGGCCGACAACAUCUUUUUGUCAGGUAGGCAAAAGCAAAAGCCAUUAUCUCAUUAAUUGAUUUGGUCAUUUGAGAAUGUAACUCUAUUAUGCCGUGACAAACUCCAAGAUCUAAUUUAGAGAGCGACCCAAAUAAUGGUAAUUAGUAAUUUAUUACAUCUGCAGUUAGAUAGAUACUUUGUCUGGGAAAAAAAUAAAAUCAGUUUUAUAAUGAUUUUAAUUAAUUCAUUUGGUCAUUUGAAAAAGUUGUGGCUCUGUUUUAGUCCAGUGUCAAUAUAUAACUUUAUUAUGUCAUGACAAACUUCAAAAUUUAAUUUAGAGUGUGACUCGAAUAAUUUUAAUUAGUAAUUUAUUAUAUCUACAGUCGGAUACUUUGUUGAGAAAAAAAAAAAUAAAAUCUGUCCCAUAAUGAUUUUAAUAAAUAUCAUACUAUUGUCUACGGACUUACCUCAUAUUACAAAGAAUUAAAAUAUGCGAAAGAUAACUAAGGAAUAAAAUUUUUCCACAAUGAUUUAUAAAAAUUGCUUUUGAAGAACGGUUAUGAUAUUAUAUUAAAUUACUAAGAAUUUAGUUAACCUCUCAAGAAGUCUAUUUGGUUGACUUCUCGAGUUUAAAAUUCGAAUGUCAAAAAAGAUAAAAGGUUAAAAAAAAUAUUUUAAAUAUUAUCCACCCUUUUACUAUUUUAAUAUACAAAAAGAAGAAUUACUUGUUUUUAACAAUAGCAACCGGGGGCAUAAUAUAUCUGAUGGAUUUUUUUAAGGAACAAAACUUAUUAUAUCUCCUAUCAAAAAUGUCAUUUUUGUUAGUAAAAGGAUAUCUAUAUCUCCAAAUUUUGGAAAAAUGGUUACCAGCGCUUCCAAGUCCUAAAUUUUCAAAAAGAGACACUAAAACUCAUUUUUUACUACAAUACCCUUUACUUUUAUUAUCCCAAAAGUUAACUUUAAUUUUUUUUUAUAAUAAAUAGAAAUAUAAUAUUAAAAUAAAUGUAUUAAAAUUUAAAUUAUUAUGAAAAAUAAUAAUUUUAAUAUUAUUAGUAUAUGAGACUUUUUUAAUUGUAAAAUGUAUUUAAUGCAAAUAUUUAUUUAAAAUCUCUAGAAUAAAUACAAAUAUAUUAUUAAAAUAAAUAUAAUAAUUUACAUAUUUAAAUUUAUUUUAAUAUUAUUAAUCUACUACAUAGAUUACAUUAUUUAUAUAAUAUUUGUGUUUACUAAAAAUUUGCAAGUUAAAUUUUUUCGGGAUACUAAAGGUAAAGAGUAUUAUGGUCAAAAGAGAGUCUUGAUGUCAUUUUUAGAAAACUUGGGGUGUUGGUGACUAUUUCUCCAAACCAUGGGGAUAUAGAUAUCCUUUUCUCUUUUUUAUUUUAAACAAGUGGUGACUAAAGAUUAAACUGUCAUAUAUUCACAAGAUAUUCACCACAAAAUUUGUAGGAAAUUUCUUCUUCCCUAAGCGGAAAAUACAAAACAAAAACAUAAUUGGCAAUUUCACUAGCAAAACUAAUAAUACUUUUGUUCCAUAUCCAGGGGUAGAGCUCGGGGUAAAUCUUCAUGACGCCCAAAUUCAAAUUUCAAGUGUUAGCUGGGAAUUAAUUUUAGACAAUUUUAUUUAUUUAUUUAUAGCUAGUAUGUAAUUGUUAGGUAUUUCAAAAUUUGAGAAUUUUGUGAUUCUGUGAGAAUGUUGAUUCAAGCAUGUUUGCAUUCUUCUUAUAAGUACCAUAGGAGAUAUUUAGUUUUUUACCCUCAAGUCAAUGUCAAUGUGAACGUUGUUUUGUGCUGCAAAUUAAAGGAGUCCCCACAGGAGUCACCGAUUUGCUUUGAGAAUUUUGAGAAUUAUGUUUUGCGAGUGAAAUUGCCAUUUUGUCAUAAUGGAAUUUUGCUUUCUGAUCAAUAAUUGAGAAUUUUGCUUGUAGCUACAGGCUGCAGCGAUUUUGAUUUGACGGCUUUGAUUCAUAAUUGAAGUUACUGUUGCAAGUAAAAACUAAAAAAAUUAACAAAAUAAAAAUCAAAGACUUAGGUCCAUGUUGCAAGUAAAAACUAAAAAAAUUAACAAAAUAAAAAUCAAAGACUUAGGUCCAUGUUUUAUCAAAAUUUUAAUAAAAGGCUAUUUGUCAUUUUGUCAUAAUGGAAAAAUGAUUAACAAAAUAAAAAAAUCGAAUUUACUUGAUUUUAUUUUACAAAAUAUAAAUUAAAUUUCUAUUAUAUGUAUAAAGUUUAUACAUCAAGUGCUUAGGGGUCAAAUCAAUCUUUUUAUACCUAAUUUUUAAUAUUUUACUUCGAAACCUCAAAAAUUUUUAAAGUUUGUUGGGUCACAAUCCCCGCUAGGAGUGGGCAAAUUUGUGUUCAUAUCAACUUGAAUAGGUUUUGGGUUGAUUAGGCUAGAACUGGAUCAGAUCAAAAAGUAUGAGAGAAAUUAAUUGAGCUUCUCCCAAGAAAAAUACAUACAGAUGAUUGAUAUAUAACCAUUAAAUAAUAAAUAUGUUAGACUUACAUUUAUUUUUUAGCCCUAAAAGUAUGAAAAAAUUAAUACUUUCCGAAUUUAUUUUUUGUACCGUAAAGAAUCAAAUUACUCACAAAAUUAUUUUUAACUUUCAUCAUGCAAACAAACAAAUCAUCAUCAAUUUCAAUAGAAAGAAGUAGAAUAUGAUGUAUUUAGGACUUCCUACUCUAUUAGCUAGGUUAAUAACAUGUUAAUUGUCACAUCAUUAAUUUUAGAUUAUAAAUUUUAUAUUCAAACUUUGUAUGACUGCUCCUUUUUCAAUGAUCUAAUGUUAGAGUGCAAUUUAUGCACUAGUUUUGCAUUGUUUACUUCCUUUAAUAUUGAUAUUUUACACUUAAUAAUAGUGAUUUACUUGUAUUUUAUUUUUGUAGGUGCAAUUCUAUUGAUUGGUGCUAAAAUUGAGAUACAAGAUGAUGUUUAAGGAUGGUUGUUCUCUUGGAUAAAUUAUGAGUGUCAGAAGAACUUUGUUGAUAAGGCGUGGGCGCGUGCUGUCAACUACGGACCUGCAGUUUUUAGUUUAAUGUGUUUUGUAUUUUUGGUUAUUUUUGUAAUUAUGAAUUUAAUGUUUCAGAUAUUAGUAUUUUAUUUUAAAUAGAACUCUAGAGGAGAAGAGAGGGAGAGUAUUUAAGGGAGGAAUCUAUUGUGAAAAAUGUGAGAGAUUGGAGAAAAAGAAAGAAACCCUAGAUCUAAACUUUUCUCUUCUCUCUAUGAAGAACUAAACCUAUUUUUCUAGUUGAAGGUUAAUGAAGCUUUGAUUCAUCACUACUGUGAGAUCUUUCUUAUGCUUUAAUUGUUUUAUUGCUUUUUGGGUAUUUGUUUAUUUUUUGAAUUAUUUUCAUGAUUAUGUUUGUUAAUUAGGUAAUUGGACACUAUUUAAUUAUCAACUUAAUCUAUUGUCAAUUCAAUGAUUCAUCGUAUGAAGAUUUUAAUGUUUGUGACAAAUAACAUAGCAGUGAGUUGUAUUAUGAGAAUAAACAAUCUAAUUUAAAUGAACCAUCGUAUGUGUUUGUUGAUUAGGAUUUGGGUCUCUCUGGUUUUUCAGGCUGUCAAUUGAUAUAAUCUUAUGAUUGUAUUUAGGGUUGUCUAUUGAUUAGGGAAAUAACCAACGGUCGUACCUUGGUUAUCGACUAGUUAAGGAGAGAUUGGCUAUUAGAGGGUCUCAGUAGCUAUAACCGGUGUAUUCAUAAGUAGUAAUAAUUUAUAUUUGAAUCAAUGAUUAGUAGUCGAAUCAAGCUCAGUUAAUUCCUUCAACCAAAGCUUUCUCCAAUUUGAAUUACAACUUUAAUUUGCAUUCUAGUUAUUUUAAUUUGAUUUCUAUUAUUGUCAACAACUCCCCCAUUUUACGUUUUACAUUUUAAAAGGAUUUAAAUAAUUACCGAUCUCUGUGAACACGACCCUGCUCAAUCAUUAUACAUAAUUUAUUUAGAGUAUGUAUUUAUUUUUGCUGUCUUCGACAAUCAUCAAAUUUUGGCGCCGUUGCCGGGGAUUGGUGUCGUUUAUUUAAUCCUUUUUACAUUUUACUUGGUGUAUGGUUCAUUCUUCUCGUACAGGUACACUUUCGUUUGAUCCUGAAAUUGAGAAGACAGCUCGCCAGCUGAGACAGCAGACGAAGCAAGCUAAGCAACGAUUCUCGUCGCCUUUGCUUUUUGAAACAGAUACAGUGUCUGAUUUGAUUGAAUCAUCUAGCGAUUCAGAAGAACAAGUGAUGGAUAGAGCUGCACCUGUAGAAAGAACUCUUAAAGAGUUAGCUGAACCAGACUUGAAUCAGCAACCACUCUGCAUUCAAUAUGUAGACUUGGAGGUAAAUUUUGAAUUAAAGUCUGGUCUUAUUAAUUUAUUACCCAAGUUUCAUGGUUUUGCAGGUGAAGAUCAUCAUAAACAUCUCAAGGAGUUUCAUGUUGUGUGCUCAAGUAUGAGGCCACAAGGCGUGACUGAAGAGCAGAUUAAGCUGUGUGCUUUUCCGUUCUCUGCAGAUGGGCUAGCUAAAGACUCGUUGUACUACUUGCCUCCUGGAUUGAGUACAACGUGGAAUGGUUUGAAGAAGCAGUUCCUUGAGAAGUACUUUCCUGCUUCAAGAGCUGCCAACAUCAGAAAAGAUAUUUGUGGGAUCAGACAACUUCCUGGGGAGAUUUUGUAUGAGUAUUGGGAGUGAUUCAAACAAUUGUGUGCCAGCUGUCCUCAGCAUCAGAUUUCUGAUCAACUUCUUAUUCAAUAUUUUUACGAAGGACUGUCAUUGAUGGAUAGGAGUAUGAUAGAUGCUGCUAGUGGAGGCGUGUUGGUGAACAAGACCCCUACUCAAGUAAGGGAGUUGAUCUCAAAUAUGGCUGCCAAUGCACAACAAUUUAGCAGCAGGCAAGAUCCCACUUCAAAGAAGGUGAAUGAGGUAAAUAUUUCUUCUGUUGAACAACGUUCAGAUAAACUUACUUCUCUUGUGGAAAAGUUUGUUUUAGGUAAUGUACAAUAGGUGAAGACUUGUGGCAUCUGUUACAAUAUGGGUCAUUCAACUGAUAUAUGUCCUACGCUUCAAGAAGAACCCGUUGAACAAGCCAAUGUAGUUGGAGGAUUUCCAGGCAAGCCUCAGAAGAGGUAUGAUCCUUAUGCACAAACAUACAAUUCAGGGUGGAAGGAUCAUCCCAACUUCAACUAUGGAGUUAGGCCGUCAGGAUUCCCACAACAGUAUCCACCAAGACAACCAGCACCUCCACAGUCAAACUCCAAGUCAGGUAUAUCUCUUGAAGAAAUUGUUAAAUCACUUGCAACUAACACUCAACAAUUUCAGCAGGCAACUACAGCAAGCAUUCAGAAUUUGGAGAACCAAAUGAGUCAAUUGGCCACUACAAUGAGCCGUCUGGAGUUUCAAGUAUUAGGGAGAUUGCCUUCACAAUCUGAGGUAAAUUUAAAGCAAAACGUUAGUACUGUCAUCCUUAGAAGUGGGAAGGAGUUACAAGAGCCUAGUAAGAAAGUGACAAAGCAUGUAGAAGAUGAGCUUGAGAAGAAUGAAUUGAUGCCUAAAUCUCAAGAUGCGCAACCCACCAAAGCGAAACCCCUACCUAUUGUGAUACCUCCUCAUUUUCUAAGCCGGUUUGUAAAAUCCAAGAAGGAGGAACAAGAGAAAGACAUCCUUGAGACAUUUCGCAAGGUUGAGGUAAAUAUUCCUUUAUUAGAUGCUAUAAAACAAAUACCUCGAUAUGCUAAAGUUCUUAAGGAACUGUGCACCUCCAAGAGAAAAUUAAGAGGAGAUGAAAAAGUUCACAUGGGGGAGAAUGUUUCAGCAGUUCUCCAAAAGAAAGUACCUCCUAAGUGCAUGGAUCCAGGUAUGUUUACUAUCCCUUGUAAAAUUGGUAGUGUUAGAGUUGAAAAUGCUAUGUUAGAUCUAGGAGCUUCUAUUAAUGUCAUGCCUCGUUCCAUUUAUUCAUCUUUGAAUGUUGGUCCAUUGAAAAAAACUGGCAUGAUAAUUCAACUAGCUGAUAGGUCUAAUGCAUAUCCUGAUGGGGUAUUAGAAGAUGUCUUAGUACAAGUUCAUGAGUUGGUUUUUCCUGUUGAUUUUUAUGUACUUGAUAUGGAAGAGGAUAACUCCUCUAAUUCUUUCCCAAUUUUGCUAGGAAGACCUUUUCUUAACACUACUAGGACUAAAAUGGAUGUACAUAAAGAGACUCUCACUAUGGAGUUUGAUGGAGAGGUUAUAGAAUUCAAUAUGAAUGAUGCCAUGAAAUAUCCUAAUGAGAAACAUUCGGCAUUUUCUGUGGAUGUUAUUAACCCUAUAAUGCAGGAAGUUUUUUACAAGGAAAAGACGAAGAAAUUUCAUGAUAGAAUGAUUUUGAGAAAGGAGCUCUCUGUUGGUCAAAAAGUUCUUUUUUAUUCUAAGCUUAAACUUUUUCCGGGUAAAUUACGUUCUUGCUGGGUUGGACCUUUUAUUAUUACUAAUGUUUUUCUUCAUAGUGCAGUUGAGAUUCGGAGUCCGACCUCUGACAAAGUUUUUAAGGUUAAUGGUCAUCGGUUAAAACCUUUUUAUAAAGGUUUUUCGGUGAAUAUUGUGGAGGAUAUGGCUCUCAAGAGUCCCAAUUAUGGAGAUUGAUGCAUAAAUGUGUCUAACCAAAGACAUAAAACAAAGGCGCUUUUUGGGAGGCAACCCAAAUGAUUUAUUUAUUUUGGUUUUUGUUAUAUCUUCUUUUCAUUUUGAUUCAGAUUUUUUAAAAAAAAUAACGUGUUUGCUUAUUUUGGCCAGAAGAAAAUGUUUGAUAAGGCGUGCCCACAUCUUAACUAAUAAGUACUUCUGUGAUUUUUAACGUAAAAUGGUUUUAAGGCGUGCGCACGUGCUUAUUAAAAAAGUACUUCUGAAAUUUUUAGUGUCUCAAGUGAUACAUCACUAAAAAAAAAAUUAUUUUAUUUAUUUAUUUAUUUGAAAAUUAAAAAAAUAAAAAAAGUUUUUUUUUCUUUUCUUUCUUUUAUAUUUUUAUUUAUUUGAAAAAAAUUUAAAAAAUGAAAAAAUAAAAAAAAGUUUUUUCUUUUUUUCUUUUAUAUAUUUUAUUUAUUUAUUUAUUUGAAAAAAAAUUUAAAAAAUAAAAAAAUUUUACUGUUCACAAAAUCCCUAAUUCACAGAAUUAGUGUUCUUCUCCAGCCGCUCCAGCCUUCACCGAGCAGCCACGCAGCACCAGCUCCAUCCCCAGCGCGCAGCAUCAUCCCCAGCCAGCGCGCAAGCAACCAGCCCCAACCCGCGCAGCACAACCAUCUGCGAAUAACCUGAACCAACAGCCGUGUACCUGCAAGCUCCAGCCGAGCAGCAACCAUCCGCAGCCGGCCUACGCCCUGCAUUCUAGCCGCGUGAAUCAAAAUCCGUGAGUUCAAUUAUUGUAACAAUGCCGAAGAGGAAAGCAUCAACUUCCAAGUCAUCUAAAAAGACACUCGUCGCAAAGAAAUCCAAGAUUUCCGCUCCCACUACGGUUCCAUGGAACACAGUUUUAGAUUCACGCCAAGCCGUGAGAUAAAGAUCGAAACAUGGAAAAGGCAUGAGUGUUUUGCCACUUGCGGAAUCCAAUCUCAGAGGGUGCCUCACAUUCACGACUCAACAAGAGAAAGAAAUGUACAAAGAUAUUUCCAAGCGAAAAAUACUUCCAGCUAAGUAUAUUCAUUACCCGACUCUUGAAAAAUUGAAUGUCAAGAAUAGUUUUGAUUCUUUGAUAGAUAAGAUUGGUUUGCGUAAGUUUGUUGAUGUUGAUUGUUUGGGUUAUGUUGAGUUGAUUAGGGAGUUCUAUGCUACUUUUCAAUUUAAUAUACUGAAUGAUUUUACUUUGCAUACCUCAGAUGUUAUAAAGUUUAGGUUAAUGGGACGAAAUUUUUCACACUCUAUCACGGAUUUUAACCUAGUUUUAGGAUUCAUUGAUGAUGAUUAUUCUUCUAGUGAUGUAUAUUUAGGGACAACUUGUGACUUUAGCGAAAAUUUUGAGCCUUAUGGUCUUUGGCGUAAUUUAUCUGUUGAUCACAAUGCCUAUGACCCAAGUAAAUCAAAGAGUUCUUUCUUACGUGAUCCUGUUUUGAAAUGUAUGCAUCGGUUCUUAGCAUAUAAUUUUUUAGGAAAGAAAGAUCACUCAAGAGUUUUCUCUAAAACUGAGUUUUGUUUUAUCUGGUGCAUAUUAAAUGAUGUGAGGCCUAACUUAGGUUUUUGGUUAGCAGAUCAAUUUCAAAGUGUGCUUAAACGGUAUAGGACUUUAUUUCUUGGUUCAUACAUUACUCUGUUAGUUAUAAACUUAUGUGUGCUUGAUCAUGACAACAAUGAUUUAUAUCCUGCUUGCAAAAAGAAAUUUUUGGAUAUGUCUGUGUUUGAAAGAACAGGUGUGGUCGAAUUCAAGGAGGGGAAAUUUCAGUUUACUGAACCAGGACCCACCCAACUUCCAAAGAAGUUUUAUACUAGGAGUGGUGCUACCUCUGAUGACGAGUUUGACGACGAAACUGCGGCCCCACCAACUAUUCCUUUUACAUCCGCACAACCUUUGAGCAUUCAGUUAGAGAAAAUGGAGCACAAGCUGAACAAGAUGGAGCAGAAUUUGGCCUCAUACUUCGAGAGUGUGGGAUUUAUCCCACCAUUUCCACUAAGCCCAUAGACGUUAUGAGGAUCAAAGCUCACAAUUCAGGAAAGUUUUCGCCUUUAAUCUUUUAUCCUUACGCUUUAAUUUUUAUGUGAGCUUUGAUUAUCUUACAUUGGGGACAAUGUAAGUGUCUGUCAAUGACAAAUUUAACCCACUACCACCAUUCAUAAUUAACCAAAAUCAAAUAAAUUAAAAAAGAAAACACAAAACAAGGAUAACUACUAGUUGUUUUGAUCAUCCUUGCUUCUUUUUCUUAGCAUAGCUCUUGUAAUGAAAAUUAACAAAAAGGGCCAAAAGGGAAGCAUUAAACACAGUAUUGAAGCACCAACCCCAAAACCCAGGGAAACCAAAUCCCGUGAAAUGAUAAUUCAGCAUCAAAAUGAAAAAUGUUAUGGAUGGCUGUGAUGGGUCUGAGGAUGUGGGGUCCAAUGAGAGGUGAUGAUGAUGGUGAUGUUGAUGUUGAUGUGUGGUAGAGGAUGGAUGUGAGGGAGAGGUAAGUAAUGAUGGAGUGAAUGAGGAUGUGUGGGAAGAAAGCUAGGGUUUGGUCUUGAGUCCACGUGAAGUUGAAGACUUGUGGGUGGCUUACAAGCAAUAAUGGAGUGUUAAGCUGAUUGAAUUUGAAGCCAUGGCUGGUUUUGGGGGAAGAUUGAUUUGGGAGAGAUGAUGGUCAGAGGAAUGGGGGAGUUUAGAAAGUUUGGGAUAUUGUGACGGGUGUUUUAGGCAUAUUUUUUCGUCUUAGCUUAAAUUUUUGUUAAAAAAAUGAUAAAUUCUUUUCUCAUAUCAAUUUAAAACUCCGAGUAUGUUUCCAAUUCUUCUUCUAUAGUGUCUAGACCUUUGUUUCAACGGCAUCUUUGGACGCGGGUUUCUUCUUUUUUGGUUAUUUCUUCUCAAACUUGUGCAGAUUACAUGCACUCAACGUGGAACCCUUUUGAAUGGAAGUUACUGUUUUGCUGGAAUCGGGACCAAUUUUUUGACAAAAAUUUCGCUAUAAAAUAUACAAUUAAAGUCGAGUAAGAUUAAGUAAAGUAACAUCUUGUAUGGUAAAGUACAUCGAGUAAGGAUUUCUAUAAUCGAGCUAGAAAGUAUAAUUAAAAUUAGAUAAGAGUGCCGCGGAGCAUUGUUUUAAAGUUACAGUAUCAAAGUAUUUAAUAAAUAUUUAUUAUUGUGACUUAAAAAUUAAGUUGGGAGUACAAAAAAAUCAAUAAUACAUUUAUUAAUUUUGUCAAAAUUAUUAUUUAAAAAUCAUAUAUACAAUACAAGAUCAACAAUUAUAUUAUAGCUUCAGUUCCUUUUUCACAAUAACUAUAACUACAACACGGUAGUACUAAAUAGGAAGUCGAGUAUGAUCAAGUAAUUACAUGUUAUGGUUUUUUGGUAUUACAUGAUUCUUCAAACUGAAAUUUGCGAUCAAAAUUGUAUCAAAGAAAUCACAGAGACACUCUGUUUGACAAAUCUGCAGUAGAAUUUGCACAAUUUAACUGGAUUGCAGAGAGUGAAUAAGAUUCCAAAGCAACAGGCAAUUAUUGUUAUUAAGAAAACAAUUCAUCGCUAGAACAAAAUUAACUUUUCUAACAUACUAGAAUUUAACUGGAGAAAAAUUGGAAUAUACGACGUUGUAUCACAUAUAGUAUUUAGACAUCAAGAAAAGAAUCCCUCUAUUAGUGAACUAUACUUGCCAGGAAACACGGUGAAAUACCACUACCUCCCUACUAGAUUAAUGCAGCAAAAUUGGGCAAUUGACUUGAUUAACUCCAAGAAAUUUACGCAGUCACAUUCUUCCGGACUAUCCUCUUUCUUCGCACUUUAGGAGCUGUUGUUUCCCCUUACAGAGUCGACAUUCCCUUGUUUGAUGCCAAGGAGCCCAAGCCCAGAGCCAAUGGCAUUCUUUGGUAUCAACCACUUUGGGAACUUUUGAGUUGAGCCAUUGACAUCCUGAGACGGCCUGUUGUGAGCCUUCUUCAAAAGGUCAUCUGACUGAAGUAGCGGAUCCGCUUCCACUCCUAGCCAAGCAAGCCUUGAUCUUUCUCCUAAUUGGACAUUAAGAACCCUGCAUGGAAUCCAUUUGAGAAGUUGAACAAUAGACAAAGUCCAACACAUAUAGGCAGUAAAGAAGAAUUUGGACAGCAAUUACUGACUGUUUAUGCACAGGGCUGAACAAAUGGGAAUAUUAAGGCACUUAAAAGUUGGAACCAUAUUCACCACUUGUAUUUCCUCAGAGAACUAUCUCAGAGUUCUGUUAAUUUAAAACCAUUCUAACGUAUUUAACUACAAAACUAGAGAAAUCGUACUUCUGUAGCGGAGUCUCACUAUUGUUAAGGAUCUAGACUUGGAAAGUAUGCAAGUUGAUUAGGUAAAGAAAAAUUGAAAUAAUACUUGGUGAUAGAUCAACACACUUCAAUAGAAACCACACUAACAUCAUAUCAGACAAAUAAACAGAUUCCCCGAGUCAAAGUUUAACAAACAAAACAUUAAAACAAGGAUAAUUUGGUACGACCAGAAUAGUCUAUCAAUGUAUAUAGAGAGGGAGAGACCUCAAAGCAGCGCUUAAGAACAGUGCUACUCCAAUAACAUCAAUAUGGUUGAUGACCGCUCUAUCAAAUCCAUUGGAAAUCGUAUACUUAUAAUUUUUUUUUUCAAACUUUGUCUAAAAUAAAUGAAUGAGAUAAGAUAAAUUCGAAUAAAUUAAUCUGCAUAAUGACACAAGAAACAAAUGUAAAUUGACCACAAGUAGAAAUAUACUUUUGUUAUCUUCCAAUUUCUUUCCCUUGAGCUCUGUUUCUGCGAGUGCUCAAAAGCAAGACACGGGCCUUGUUAAGAGUAUAGCUGAAGCUGGUGACGUGUAUAAGCUGCUGAUGAAGCUGCUGAGCUGGCUGGCUAGUGAUGUGUAUAAAUUGAAGGUGCUGAGCUGGAUUGGGUUGUUGUUUACACCAACUAAAGCUGUAACAGAUUAUCCAGCUGGCUUGUUAUGAUUGGAAAUUAGAUUAGUUUGUUAAUACAGCAAACGAUUAGCUCUGUUUUAGUAGUUAGCCUUGAAUGUAACUAUAAAUACUGGCUAACACGUUUUCAGUGUUAAGCUUGAGUUUUAAUCAAUAAAAAUCAAUUCAGUUAAAGUUUCUUUGUUAAUUUUCUUUCACUUUCUCACUUGCCAAACAACCUAUUAAUUCUAAAAGGCCUCAAGAUAUAAUUAUCAUCAUCAAUCUUUUGCAGCCACAUGCAGUACUUGGAAAAUGUUUAUGGCCCUAAAUAACUGGAAAAUCAGAAAACAUUAAGAACAAGAGACUAAUCAUUUUAAUCGCAACAAAACAUGCACACUAUGAAAAUAUAAAAUUGAAUUACUUCGAAUGGAUGUGCCUCUUAACAGGAAUUGCACAAGCUAAUGAGCAAGUGAGCCUUGAACAGUUAUCACUCAACUCAAACUAAAAUGAAAUUACUGUGGACAUGUGAAUUAAAAAUAGAUGUAAAAGUAGUUUUCUCAAAGCAAAGUCAAGAUAAGAGAUUAACUCUGCUCCGUAAUUACAUUAAAAAUAACAAACAAUGAAAAACAGAGCUAGAGAAGAACUUACCUGUGCGUUGAGACCAUGUGGGGAAUGUGAGAUAUCUUCUUAGAUUUGGUUUGAGAAACCCUGCCAAUUAAAAUUUCGGUCCCCAUGUAGCAGAAUUUCUUAUUUUUCCUUUGUACACAAAUGCAGACACUUAAGCAAAUUAAGAUUUCUUAUCUAAAGCAAAUUAGGAUUUCUUUUGACCCUGCAAAUUACAAUUUCAGUCCCCAUGUAAUAGGAAAAUUUUGUACACAUAUUUAUAGCAAAUUAAUAUUUCAUACCUCACAAUAUUUAUCAGAACCAUCAAUCUUUAGAAACCACAUGCAGACUUGGUAAACUGUUUAUGGCCCAAAAUAACAGGAAAAUUAGAACAGAUUUUUAAGAAUGAGCGACUAAAUAUUUCAAUGGCAACUAAAAUUACACAUCUUGGAAAUCUGAAACUCAAGUACUCAGAACACUGUUAGUGCAUUGCAUAAGUCAAUUGCAUAAUCUUGGGUAAAAAUUACGCAGCAAUUAAACAAGCUGGGAACUUUAGUGCAAAUGCUUUUUCAUAAUCUUCAAUUGCAUAAGUCAGUUAGAAUCAAUCUUUCUUAAUCUUUCAAUUCACAUAUGAGAGCCUGAUAACACAAGGAAACACUGUAAGUGAAUUGUCAACUGUGACAAAUUUUGGGUAAAAAUUAUCAACUGUAGUUAUCUGCAUAACAUUUAGUGUCAACCCCAAAUUCCUUACUGAUCCGUGGAAGCAUUUCAGCCCACAGACGGUUAGCUUUGUCAAUAUACGGCAACUCAGGAUUCUAUAUUUAAACUAUGAUGUUUGAUGACUUGCUGAUACAAAAGACAUUGCCCCAAGCACUUUUUUACAUUAGCUAAAAUCAAGCCAAUCACUUCCAUUUGUUGCAGUUUUAAUGCAGAAAGAAAAAGGUGGGGAAAAAAUCUGCAAGAUGCCACUUGUAAUACCGCAUGUUCGCAGAAGCAGAGUUAAAUAAUUACAAAAUUACAUUCUUUAUGAAAGCUUGCGAUUAUUGGGAGAGCUCUACUCAAAUUUAAUGAGAUAUCUCUCAGAAGGGAGAGCUCUAAUAAUAUAUAAAGCCAAAAAUCUAACACUCAUCAAAUUGGCUUGUGAACAAUUAAUCUUCCUUGCCAUCAUAAAUGCCAGGUGUGGUGAACAAUCUUCAUUCUGACAUUUGCCUUAAUAAGCUGCUUAGUAUCCUUAACCUGAUAACUUACACAAACAAAAACAACUUCACUAAAGUUUAUUCUUUAAAGGCAAAACAGUAAACCAGAUGAUGUAUGCUGAUACAAAAAAUUGACCUGAGUUAUCCUGAUGUCAAGAAUCACAGAACCUCACGUGGGCAAAAUCAUCGCAAUACAAGAUGCUGAAUUCAAGCAACAUCUUAUCACCUGUAAUUUAAUUAAGACAAUAACUUUCCUCAACUAUUAGCCUUCUCAAUUUCAAUGUAUUAUUGGCAACUAAAUUCAUAGGGGACGCAGCUAAUUAAAUGCCCUUUUAACAAUAUCUUCCCCACCUAACAAUUAUUUGGAAAAUCUAAAUGACAAUCAUGCAUUGAUGGCAUAAAAUAUUGGCCACAAAGCUGCCUACAAAAAGGCUUUAAAUUCUUAAUGAGACAACGUAUUCGAACAAAUAUGGUGAAUGAAGAGACAAAGCAUAACACCUCAAGAAGUAAAGCUCUGUUUCUGUAUAUGCUCAAACCAAUGGAAACCCAUGGAAAUGGAUUUCUACGAAUUAGACAUGUCAGCCAAAACAGGUACUCUGUACAGGCAAAGUAAAAGAGAGUUACAAAAAAUUUUAAGAUAAUUAAACUUUUAAUAACCAUAUAAUUAAUAGAAAACUUUGUACACAAUGAUUUAUAUGAGAUUAAGAUUGUAUACCUAAGUUUUAAUUGCAAACUAAAUAUACACAACAUGAUAUUAGCAUUAGAAGACUGCACCAAAACGUACCGAAUUGAAUGUACCUUUUAACGGCCAUUGUACAUGCAUUGAAAGUUUACCGCAAAAUCUGUUUCAAACGUGAUGCAUCUUAGAGAUGCAAGAUGAGAAAUUGUUAGUACAACUAGCAUUGAAACAUGUGUGAAAACUGUUAAUGGACCUAAAUAACUUGAAAAUCAGAAAAGAUUAGGAAUGAGUGACUAAGCCUGCUAAUCACAACUAAUCCAAAACUGUUAAUGGACCUAAAUAAUAGUGUUAAUACCGAAUUCCUUCCUCCAUGGAAGCAUAUGAUCAGCCCACAUGUGCUUUGCUCUGUAGCUUUUGAGUACCUGAAAUUGUUAUUACAACCAGCGGUGAAAAUUGGGUGAAAAAAUGGUAAUGUUAGCAUAAUUGAAUUUGCUUAUAGAGGAUAAACCGAUCAAAGAAAAAAACAAGAUAGAAAUGAUUAUCUUAGUACCUUAAUAUCAUGCAAUAAAAAUCACCAUGCCUUCCAGGCAGCUGUCCAUCCUCAAUUGAAACAGAGCAGACCUGGCCAUCACUUUCUUCUUCAAAGUCCAGCAACGGAACGUUGCACACAACACCACAGUGGAAGUAGUUCCAUCACCAGCCUAAUCCUUGAUUACCCCAAUGUUCUCCAUAGGGUCUUCAAAGUCAACCUAAAAAUAAAAUGAAAAUGCAAUGCAUUAUUAUUAGGGAUCUAGUGCUUGAGCUUGCUUUGACAUCAUGGUAUUAGCAAAUUCUGAUAUAGCCAAAAUGGUGAAUAAGAUGAUGUACUUGAUAAGAAAAACCUGAUUUAACAAAUAAUUAAGAAGCCGGUAACAAUCACAUAAUCUCAUCAUGUGGGGAAUGCCUUGGUAACAGAAGAUGGUGCUUUCAUUCAAGCAAUAGCAACUUUCCAAUUUCAUAAGGUAGUUUAAUGGCCCUUUUAAGAACAUCUGUACCAGCCUAACAAUUAUUCAUGGAAAUUAAAAUUCAGAAUCAUAUUAGAUUGAGAGAUGAAAUAUAAUAAGCGAUUUGGCCACCAUAUAUGCAUUUAUCACCUUCAAUUUGCUCAUCUUUGUCUAGAGUAUUGCUUCUGCAUUAACUUAAUUAGCUUGCAAGCCACCUACAAAUGGUUUUAAAUAAUGUGUGAGAGUGUGAAUUCGAACGAAUUAAUCAAAUAUGCUGACAGGAGAAACAAAAGUAAAUAACCACAAGAAGUAGAAAUAUACUUUUGUUAUAUUCAGAGCAUCUUCUUGCGUCAAGUUCUUUUCCUUUAGCUCUGUUUCUGUUUGUGCUCAAACGCAAUGGCUCAAGGGUCAAGAUAAUUUUAUGACCAUCAAUCUUUUUGCAGCCACAUGCAGACUUGAAAAACAGGUCGUGGCCCUAAGGAACUUGAAAAUUAGAAAAGAUUCAGAAUGAGUGACUAAAUAUUAUAAUCGAAACUAAUUAAACAUACACGCCUAGAAAAUCUGAAACUGAACUUCUCAAAUGUAUAUGCCUCUUCGCAGCAAUUGCUUGUGGUGGAACUUUACUGCAAGGACUUUCUCAAACCCUUGAAGAUCACACUCUACCUGAUAACAAAGAAACAUAGUCAAUAUACGAAGAUGAUUUUACUAACAAGUGAGUGCUUACACAUAUUGGAAGGAUAAUGAUUACUCAUAACCCAAAUCCCCAACACUCCCUAAUAUCUCACUCAAGUGAGUUCGAGCCCCCAGAAUUCACUACUGUGAAACUCUUACAACAAAAUUCCCUUCAAAGAUUCUCUACUCAAAUUUGAUGAUGAUGUCCCUCGAAAGGAGGCAAAAAAUCUAACACUGAUCAAAUUGGCUUGUGAACAAUUAAUCUUCCUGCGAUCAUGCAUACCAGGUGUGGUGAGCAAUCUUCAUUCUGACAUUUGCCUUAAUAAGCGGCUUAGUAUCCUUAACUUGAUAACUUACACAAACAAAAACAACUUGAUUAAAGUUUAAUAUUUAGAGGCAGAACAGUAAAGAAGAUGAUAUAUAUUGAUACUAAAAUUUGACCUGUGUUAUCCUGACGUCAAGAAUCACAGCAUCUCAUGUGGGCAGAAUCUUUGCAGUACAAGAUGCUUGCAAAAUUGAAGCAGCAUCUUAUCACCUGUAAUUUAAUUAAGACAAUAACUUUCCCCAACCAUUUCAAUGCAUUAUUGCCAACUAAAUUCAGAGGGUGCUAAUUAAAUAGCCUUUGAACAAUAUAUUCUAAUUCUUCUCCAAUCUAACAAUUAUUUGGAAAAUCUAAAUUACAAUCAUGCAUCGAUGGCAUCAAAAUUUGGCUACAAAGCAGCCUGGAAAAGGCUUUACUCUCUGAAUGAGAGCAUGAAUGAAGAAACAAAUAUCAUGAAUGAAGAAACAAAGGCAUAAUACCACAAAAAAUAAAACUUUUUCCCAGGCUCUCUGUUUCUGUUUGAACUAAAACCAAUGGAAACCGAUGGAAAUGAAUUUCUAGGAAUUAGACAUAUCAGCCAAAACAGUUACUCUGUACAAGCAAAGUAAAAUAGGGUUACAAAAAAUUUUAAGAUUGAUAUGAUAAUUAAAAUUUCAGUCACCAUAUAAUUAAUAGAAAACUUUGGACACAAUGAUUUAUUGCAUAUUAA